RNAcentral lists this ribosomal RNA (967 nucleotides) under uncultured Methanoculleus sp. RNAcentral describes it as "bacterial SSU rRNA". It matches the Rfam family "Archaeal small subunit ribosomal RNA", at positions 378 to 1349 of the family's 1478-position model. Lineage: Archaea; Methanobacteriati; Methanobacteriota; Methanomicrobia; Methanomicrobiales; Methanomicrobiaceae. The record is from RNAcentral.
ACCUCGAGUGCCUGUACAUGCAGGCUGUCUGGGUGUCUAAAACACACCCAAAGAAAGGGCCGGGCAAGACCGGUGCCAGCCGCCGCGGUAAUACCGGCGGCUCGAGUGGUGGCCACUUUUAUUGGGCUUAAAGCGUUCGUAGCUGGGUUGUUAAGUCUCUUGGGAAAUCCGGCGGCUUAACCGUCGGGCGUCUAAGAGAUACUGGCAAUCUUGGAACCGGGAGAGGUGAGGGGUACUUCGGGGGUAGGAGUGAAAUCCUGUAAUCCUCGAGGGACCACCUGUGGCGAAGGCGCCUCACCAGAACGGCUUCGACAGUGAGGGACGAAAGCUGGGGGAGCAAACCGGAUUAGAUACCCGGGUAGUCCCAGCCGUAAACGAUGUGCGUUAGGUGUAUCGACGACCACGAGUCGUCGAGGUGCCGAAGGGAGACCGUGAAACGUACCGCCUGGGAAGUACGGUCGCAAGGCUGAAACUUAAAGGAAUUGGCGGGGGAGCACCACAACAGGUGGAGCCUGCGGUUUAAUUGGACUCAACGCCGGGAAGCUCACCGGAUAGGACAGCGGAAUGAUUGCCGGGCUGAAGACUCUGCAUGACUAGCUGAGAGGGGGUGCAUGGCCGUCGUCAGUUCGUACUGUGAAGCAUCCUGUUAAGUCAGGCAACGAGCGAGACCCACGCCAACAGUUGCCAGCACGAUCCCCGGAUCGGUGGGGACACUGUUGGGACCGCCUCUGCUAAAGAGGAGGAAGGAAUGGGCAACGGUAGGUCAGCAUGCCCCGAAUUAUCCGGGCUACACGCGGGCUACAAUGGGCAGGACAAUGGGUAUCGACACCGAAAGGUGAAGGCAAUCUCCUAAACCUGUCCGUAGUUCGGAUUGUGGGCUGUAACUCGCCCACAUGAAGCUGGAAUCUGUAGUAAUCGCGUUUCAAAAUAGCGCGGUGAAUAUGUCCCUGCUCCUUGCACACACCGC